AACCAGACUCCUACGGGAGGCAGCAGUGGGGAAUAUUGCACAAUGGGGGAAACCCUGAUGCAGCGACGCCGCGUGAGUGAGGAAGUAUUUCGGUAUGUAAAGCUCUAUCAGCAGGGAAGAAAAUGACGGUACCUGACUAAGAAGCCCCGGCUAACUACGUGCCAGCAGCCGCGGUAAUACGUAGGGGGCAAGCGUUAUCCGGAUUUACUGGGUGUAAAGGGAGCGUAGACGGAUAAGCAAGUCUGAUGUGAAAGUCCGGGGCCCAACCCCGGAAUUGCAUUGGAAACUGCAUAUCUAAAGUGUCGGAAAGGCAGGUGGAAUUCCUGGUGUAGCGGUGAAAUGCGUAGAUAUCAGGAGGAACACCAGUGGCGAAGGCGGCUUGCUGGGCGAUGACUGACGUUGAG
RNAcentral lists this ribosomal RNA (404 nucleotides) under uncultured bacterium. Its description in RNAcentral is "bacterial SSU rRNA". It matches the Rfam family "Bacterial small subunit ribosomal RNA", at positions 329 to 750 of the family's 1533-position model. The record is from RNAcentral.